This 258-nucleotide ribosomal RNA is filed under the name uncultured bacterium. RNAcentral describes it as "partial 16S ribosomal RNA". It matches the Rfam family "Bacterial small subunit ribosomal RNA", at positions 99 to 356 of the family's 1533-position model. The record is from RNAcentral.
CGGGCGGGUGAGUAACGCGUGGGGAACCUGCCCUGUACCGGGGGAUAGCAGCCGGAAACGGCUGAUAAUACCGCAUAAGCGCACGAAUGUCGCAUGACAUGGUGUGAAAAACUCCGGUGGUAUAGGAUGGACCCGCGUAUGAUUAGCCUGUUGGUGGGGUAAAAGCCUACCAAAGCGAAGAUCAGUAGCCGAGUUGAGAGACUGACCGGCCACAUUGGGACUGAGACACGGCCCAGACUCCUACGGGAGGCAGCAGCG